GACAGAGGGUGCAAACGUUGUUCGGAAUUACUGGGCGUAAAGCGCAUGUAGGCGGCCAAGCAAGUCGGGUGUGAAAGCCCAGGGCUCAACCCUGGAAGUGCACUCGAAACUGCUCGGCUGGAGUCUCGGAGAGGAUCGCGGAAUUCUGGGUGUAGAGGUGAAAUUCGUAGAUAUCCAGAGGAACACCAGUGGCGAAGGCGGCGAUCUGGACGAGUACUGACGCUGAGAUGCGAAAGCGUGGGGAGCAAACAGG
RNAcentral lists this ribosomal RNA (253 nucleotides) under uncultured bacterium. Its description in RNAcentral is "partial 16S ribosomal RNA". It matches the Rfam family "Bacterial small subunit ribosomal RNA", at positions 524 to 776 of the family's 1533-position model. The record is from RNAcentral. RNAcentral also lists the same sequence under 1 other name.